This 84-nucleotide transfer RNA is filed under the name Rhodococcoides trifolii. Its description in RNAcentral is "Rhodococcus trifolii tRNA-Leu". It matches the Rfam family "tRNA". Rfam says of the family: Transfer RNA (tRNA) molecules are approximately 80 nucleotides in length. The record is from RNAcentral. RNAcentral also lists the same sequence under 2 other names. Lineage: Bacteria; Bacillati; Actinomycetota; Actinomycetes; Mycobacteriales; Nocardiaceae.
GCGCGAGUGGCGGAAUGGCAGACGCGCCACACUUAGGAUGUGGUGUCUUAGGACGUGGGGGUUCAAGUCCCCCCUCGCGCACCA